AUGGCUGCGCGCGCGGCGACCCGUCUGUCUCAUUUUUUUUUUUUUUAAUGUAACCUGGUUUAUUGGGCUCUCGGCGUAUUCUUGCGUUCAUUCUGCACUGGGACAAGACACCACUGCACUAUUGGACUACGGCAAGCUGGUAACCGUCCGGUGGAGCUUCAUACAGGAACUACUGCCUUACCUGCUGGUGUCACAACGUUGGAUGAACGCACAAAAAGCGCGGAACGAGCUUUCAUAUAGAGCAAAAUAAAUAUUUACUCAUUGCACAAAA
Long non-coding RNA from Dermacentor silvarum, 271 nucleotides. RefSeq lists it as uncharacterized. NCBI's taxonomy places the organism in Eukaryota, Metazoa, Arthropoda, Arachnida, Ixodida, Ixodidae. The record is from RefSeq and is a predicted model, not a curated record. The transcript is spliced from 2 exons.